GAGAUCAACGAAGUUGUUCUGGUCGGCGGCAUGACGCGCAUGCCGAAGGUGCAGGAAGUCGUGAAGCAGCUCUUCGGUAAAGAGCCGCACAAGGGCGUCAACCCGGACGAAGUCGUUGCCAUCGGCGCGGCAAUUCAGGCGGGCGUGCUGCAGGGCGACGUCAAGGACGUGCUGCUGCUCGACGUGACGCCGCUGUCGCUCGGCAUCGAAACGCUGGGCGGUGUGUUCACGCGCAUCAUCGAGCGCAACACCACGAUCCCGACCAAGAAGAGCCAGGUGUUCUCGACCGCCGAGGACAACCAGGGCGCGGUCACCNNNNNNNNNNNNCGCGAGAUGGCGGCUGACAACAAGAUUCUCGGUCAGUUCGACUUGAUGGGAAUUCCUCCCGCGCCGCGCGGCAUGCCGCAGAUCGAGGUCACGUUCGACAUCGACGCCAACGGCAU
Molecule: unclassified non-coding RNA, 443 nt
Filed under: Hevea brasiliensis (rubber tree)
Lineage: Eukaryota; Viridiplantae; Streptophyta; Magnoliopsida; Malpighiales; Euphorbiaceae
Source: RNAcentral